This 1568-nucleotide long non-coding RNA is filed under the name Anas platyrhynchos platyrhynchos (common mallard). RNAcentral describes it as "lncRNA (ENSAPLG00000017763.1)". The record is from RNAcentral. Lineage: Eukaryota; Metazoa; Chordata; Aves; Anseriformes; Anatidae.
GGGGGAUCCGAGGGCUGUGCUGGGGGGCCCGGCCAGGCUCCUGAUGGCUGGGAUGAAGCCGGCUCGCCUCGGGUGGGGUUCAGAGCGGCUCGGAGAGGGGGGGGCGGCAGCAGGGACCGCUCCUCCUCCACGGCCCGGGAGGGAUCGACGACGGCAGCGAGGCGAAGGGAAAGCGAAAGGCGAAGGGAAAGCGAAAGCGCAGCGCAGGGCACUGCGGAGCGGGACCCACGGGCACCACCCGCAGCGCCCCGAGCAUCCCCGCCGGGGGGGCGCAGAUGAAAUUCAGCUUGGUCCUUUGGCAAGAGCCGUGCUCUCUGCCCGCUCUCCCUUUGGGAACAGAGCCCUCCAUCCCCGGGCUGUGCAGGUGCAGGUGAGCGGGGGGGCGACGCUCCUGCUCCUGCUGCACAGGGCACAUCAGGAGCGAGGAGGAAUGGAUGCUGCAGCUGGGAAGAAAAACCCCAUCCCACAGACAGCCAGGAGCAUAUUUGGGCAAGGCAGUCUGUAUUCGGUGAAUAUUCACAUGUGUCGCUCCGGCCAUGUGGCCGCAUCUGCUUUUUGGGGUUUGUGAGCCAAGGGUGUGUGCUGGGUGCAGGUACGUACCCAAAAGGCCGGGGCCAGGAGGUGGCCGCAUGCAGGAGCCAGGCAGCAGAGGGGUGAAGCUGCCCUGAGAGCCCCUCGGGCUGUGGUGGGACAGAGCCACGGGAGCUCGGCUGUGGGGCACAGCACCUCUAACGGUGCUGGUGGCAGCGGCAGGGAUGCUCUGCAGGAGUGCCUGGAGCAGCACCAGAGCUCACAGAGAGCUGAGGUUUGGGUAUACAAAGUGCUUGCUGAUGCCAUCUGAAAAUUAAGGGAAAAUUAGGAUGGGUGCUAAAAGGCAGCGUGAUUUUCACUGCUCUUGGCCUCAGCUCAAGAAACGACUUUGAAGCAAGCUCUGAGCUGCACAUCAAGUGUUCUGGUACGGAGCAGCUUAGAGGAGCCUCUGAGAUAAGUUUUGUCUUCAGAGCAGGAUUAGAAGUGCACUUGGGGAGUGCCAGGCUUAGGGCUGCCACCUGAAUAAUGCUGAGAAACAGAAUAGCGAGUGGGCAGCCUUCAUCUCGUACGGGAAGGAGACACGGUACGAUGGGGGUGUGUUUGUGUUACGGGGGUGUCUUGUGACUAUGUGAGUUUGGGGAUUUCGGUGUUCAGGGUCUCAGGCACGUCAGUUUUCAGGCAGAGCACUCGUGUGCCCCUGCACCAAAACAUUGCAUUACAAUUCUGGAGCUACAACUACAAAUUCUUCACUGGGAAAACUGCACAGGCUUUGUCAGAACUGAACACUGGAUGAAUUUGGCCCGCAAGCUCUUGCUCAGGUUGAUGGGUCCUGGAAAACAGCACCAGUCUGUGCUGCAGAGGGGCCGGCAGCUCCAUGCUGUGCUGUCACGGGAUUUGUGCGAUCACAGAGUUUUCAUCGGUGCUUUUAGGAGCACAGCUGGGGGCAGAGGCAAAGGGCACCAGGGGGACGUGGCACUAGGGAAUGGGGGGAUGAAAGGGAGCUGCCUUGGUCUCAGAGCCCAAAAUGUCCCGAUGCU